UGUGACAGGUUUGAACAGAAGGUUAUUGUGACAGGGGUAUGAACAGAAGGUUAUUGUGACGGGUAUGAACAGAAGGUUAUUGUGACAGGUAUGAACAGAAGGUUAUUGUGACAGGUAUGAACAGAAGGUUAUUGUGACAGGGGUAUGAACAUAAGGUUAUUGUGAUGGGUAUGAGCAGAAGGUUAUUGUGAUGGGUAUGAACAGAAGGUUAUUGUGACGGGUUUGAACAGAAGGUUAUUGUGAUGGGUAUGAACAGGGGGUUAUUGUGACAGGUUUGAACAGAAGGUUAUUGUGAUGGGUAUGAACAUAAGGUUAUUGUGAUGGGUAUGAACAGAAGGUUAUUGUGACGGGUUUGAACAGAAGGUUAUUGUGAUGGGUAUGAACAGGGGGUUAUUGUGACAGGUUUGAACAGAAGGUUAUUGUGACAGGUAUGAACAGAAGGUUAUUGUGACAGGUAUGAACAGAAGGUUAUUGUGACAGGUAUGAACAGAAGGUUAUUGUGACCGGUAUGAACAGGGGGUUAUUGUGACAGGUAUGAACAGGGGUUAUUGUGACAGGUAUGAACAGGGGGUUAUUGUGACAGGUAUGAACAGAAGGUUAUUGUGACAGGUAUGAACAGGGGGUUAUUGUGACAGGUAUGAACAGAAGGUUAUUGUGACAGGUAUGAACAGAAGGUUAUUGUGACAGGUAUGAACAGAAGGUUAUUGUGACAGGUAUGAACAGAAGGUUAUUGUGACAGGUAUGAACAGAAGGUUAUUGUGACAGGUAUGAACAGAAGGUUAUUGUGACAGGUAUGAACAGAAGGUUAUUGUGACGGGUUUGAACAGAAGGUUAUUGUGACAGGUAUGAACAGAAGGUUAUUGUGACGGGUUUGAACAGAAGGUUAUUGUGACAGGUAUGAACAGAAGGUUAUUGUGACAGGGGUAUGAACAGGGGGUUAUUGUGACAGGGGUAUGAACAGGGG
Long non-coding RNA from Oncorhynchus keta (chum salmon), 964 nucleotides. RefSeq lists it as uncharacterized. The transcript is spliced from 4 exons. Lineage: Eukaryota; Metazoa; Chordata; Actinopteri; Salmoniformes; Salmonidae. The record is from RefSeq and is a predicted model, not a curated record.